This 2368-nucleotide long non-coding RNA is filed under the name Erythranthe guttata (spotted monkey flower). RNAcentral's name for it is "long non-coding RNA (EGUT_LNC001385)". Lineage: Eukaryota; Viridiplantae; Streptophyta; Magnoliopsida; Lamiales; Phrymaceae. The record is from RNAcentral.
UCGUUGAACUAUGGGAAUUGACGGAUACGCGUGAACUACGCCGACUGAGAAUUUUGGUCCGAAUUCCAAAUGCCGUAAAGUGUUGCUCGCCCCAUUACAAACAUUUGACUGGACCGCAAGAUUAGUAAACAUUGAAAUCCUUAGAAACAUUAGCGGCACUAUUUUAAAUGUUUCCUGUUCAGAAGCUAACACGUACCUACUCUCGGAAAUACGAGCCUUCAUUCAUGUUUUUGAUGACACAAUAGCCCUUUCAGUAGAUCAUGACACAUAAUGGAAAGUAUCGCAAACUUACUUCCAUUUGUCAAAACUUGAAUCGGUCAAAGAUUUUAUCGGUGAAUUAGAGGAUUUUUUUAUGUUCUUGUUCUUGGGAUUUGUAGUUGACAGGAUCUUAGCCACAAAGAAUCUUGCUAGAAAUAAGAAGAUUCUUAAUGUGUUAUUGCUCGUAUUCGAACAUCUUUCGACCAACGAGAAGUGCAUGGACAAGUUUGCUAAGAUAGUUCCCGUCUUAUUGACCAUAAUCAAAGGAGAUGUAAAUUAGUAGAGGAGGAGUGUAACGUGUGUGGGGCAAAAAUGAGAGCCGAUCUUCUUCUGGCCACUCCUACGCAAUAUAUGAAACACUAACGUUUCUUAAUGCAAUAUAUGAAGUACUCCUCGGUAAAACAUGAUAAUAAAGAAUUAUAUAUAUAUAAAUUGCAAUGAUCAUAUGCCAUGAUUGGAAUUGAUCAAAUGCGAAAAUGUAUUGAAAUUUGAAAAACGAUCAUUACACAUAUCCUCAGCUCAACAUUUGAUACAAAAUUAAUACAAUGAAUCAAGUUUGGUCAUGUUGUUUUCUUCAUUUGACAGGCAACAAUAAUGGUAUUUAUCUCAUAAAUCUCCACAUGUCAUUAUUUGUGAAUUGAUCUAAAUUAUUGUCUCCACAAAUAGAGACAUAAUUAUGGAAUAAAUACUUUGCCACUAACAGUGUCGUAUUUAAUAGAUUUAAUACAUAAUUUUCUUUGGGGGCUGCUUUAAUAUUUGAGGGGAGGCCCACCCAGAAAAGCGUACCUCUUCUCCAUCGGGAGUUACAACAGUAAUGUUAUGCAGCGAGGAGGAGGAGGAGCCUUCCCCAUCGCCGAUGUGGAGCUCAACACACUUCUCAAUGUACUCUUCCGACUCCAUUGCAAAUACUUUUUCCUCGGAAACCCUAGCUCGCUCCUACAAUUAUUCAUCUUUUUCCCCCUUUUCCGAUAUUUUCCAGCUAGCUCAGCCUAGACACGGCCACGGGCCGGUUCGGGCCGGUUCAAGCCGGUUCACGGUUCACAUUUUCCGGAACCGGAACCGGCCCGUAGUAUGGGCGGUUCAGCGGGCCGGGUCGGCCUGCCGGUUCGGACCGGUUCCGGGUCGGCCCGGAAAUUUUGAAUUUUUUUUUUUUUUGAAAUAUAUGAAUAAGUAAAUUAAAAGAAGUACUUUUAAAUAGAAAAAGAAAAAAAUAAAUAAAUUAAAAGACUUGAACUCAAUUUUAAAUUCAAAAUUUUAAAGAUUUCGAAUUUAUAGGAAUAAUGGGGGGAAAAAAAUUCAAAAAAAAAGUAAAUAACGGCCGGUUCACCGGGCCGGUUCACUAGCCGUUAUUUGCUUUUUUUUUGAAUUUUUUUGAUAUAUUUUUUUUUUAAUAUCCGGGUGAACCGCCGGGCCGGCCUAGUGGUUCACGGUUCACCAUUUCUAAGAAUCGGGCCCGUCCCGGGGAGGACAGGCCGGUUCACGGGUCCGGGCCGGUUCACUUGGUCAACGGGCCGGUUUGGGCCAUCACACGUUACACUCCUCCUCUACUAAUGUUUCUAGAAAAAAAUGGUUGUCGUUGAACUACGGGAAUUGACGGAUACGCGUGAACUACGCCGAUUGAGAAUUUUGGUCCGAAUUCCAAAUGCCAUAAAGUUGUUGCUCGCCCCAUUACAAACAUUUGACUGGACCGCAAGAUUAGUAAACAUUGACAUCCUUAGAAACAUUAGCGGCACUAUUUUAAAUGUUUCCUGUUCAGAAGCUAACACGUACCUACUCUCGGAAAUACGAGCCUUGAUUCAAGUUUUUGAUGACACAAUAGCCCUUUCAGUAGAUCAUGACACAGAAUGGAAAGUAUCGCAAACUUACUUUCAUUUUUCAAAACUUGAAUCGGUCAAAGAUUUUAUUGGUGAAUUAGAGGAUUUUUUUCUGUUCUUGUUCUUGGGAUUUGUAGUUGACAGGAUCUUAGCCACAAAGAAUCUUGCUAGAAAUAAGAAGAUUCUUAAUGUGUUAUUGCUCGUAUUCGAACAUCUUUCGACCAACGAGAAGUGCAUGGACAAGUUUGCUAAGAUAGUUCCCGUCUUAUUGACCAUAAUCAAAGGAGAUGUAAAUU